GAUGAAGGCCCUAGGGUUGUAAAGCUCUUUCAACGGUGAAGAUAAUGACGGUAACCGUAGAAGAAGCCCCGGCUAACUUCGUGCCAGCAGCCGCGGUAAUACGAAGGGGGCUAGCGUUGUUCGGAAUUAUUGGGCGUAAAGAGCUCGUAGGCGGUUUGUCGCGUCGACUGUGAAAACUGGGGGCUUAACUCUCAGCUUGCAGUCGAUACGGGCAGACUUGAGUUCGGUAGGGGAGACUGGAAUUCCUGGUGUAGCGGUGAAAUGCGCAGAUAUCAGGAGGAACACCGGUGGCGAAGGCGGGUCUCUGGGCCGAUACUGACGCUGAGGAGCGAAAGCGUGGGGAGCGAACAGGAUUAGAUACCCUGGUAGUCCACGCUGUAAACGUUGGGCGCUAGGUGUGGGGGACAUUCACGUCUUCCGUGCCGUAGCUAACGCAUUAAGCGCCCCGCCUGGGGAGUACGGCCGCAAGGCUA
Molecule: ribosomal RNA, 473 nt
Filed under: uncultured bacterium
Lineage: Bacteria
Description: bacterial SSU rRNA
Rfam family: Bacterial small subunit ribosomal RNA
Source: RNAcentral